UAUCUACUUCCUCCGUUCCAAAUUACUCGCCAGAGAAAUGGAUGUAUCUAGAACUAAAAUACAUCUAGAUACAUCCAUACCUGUGACAAGUAAUUCGGAAUGGAGAGAGUAUAUC
This is a non-coding RNA of Triticum urartu, 115 nucleotides long. Lineage: Eukaryota; Viridiplantae; Streptophyta; Magnoliopsida; Poales; Poaceae. The record is from Rfam.